GUGGGGAAUCUUGCGCAAUGGGCGAAAGCCUGACGCAGCCAUGCCGCGUGAAUGAUGAAGGUCUUAGGAUUGUAAAAUUCUUUCACCGGGGACGAUAAUGACGGUACCCGGAGAAGAAGCCCCGGCUAACUUCGUGCCAGCAGCCGCGGUAAUACGAAGGGGGCUAGCGUUGCUCGGAAUUACUGGGCGUAAAGGGCGCGUAGGCAGACAGUUUAGUCAGAGGUGAAAGCCCAGGGCUCAACCUUGGAAUUGCCUUUGAUACUGGCUGUCUUGAGUACGGGAGAGGUGAGUGGAACUCCGAGUGUAGAGGUGAAAUUCGUAGAUAUUCGGAAGAACACCAGUGGCGAAGGCGACUCACUGGCCCGUUACUGACGCUGAGGCGCGAAAGCGUGGGGAGCAAACAGGAUUAGAAACCCGAGUGUCC
This 424-nucleotide ribosomal RNA is filed under the name uncultured bacterium. RNAcentral describes it as "partial 16S ribosomal RNA". It matches the Rfam family "Bacterial small subunit ribosomal RNA", at positions 354 to 796 of the family's 1533-position model. The record is from RNAcentral.